AUGUGUGUUGAUGGCACAGCAUGUACUGUACCACGGUACCUGUCAUGCCAAGGGGCAAAGCACAAUAGAUCCACUACUGUGGAACGCAGUAGGUCUGGUAAUGGUCUGGGCUCUCGGAUGGUGGUUGAACGCAGGGGUCUGGUAAUGGUCUGGGCUCUCGGAUGGUGGUUGAACGCAGGGGGUCUGGUGAUGGUCCGGGCUCUCGGAUGGUGGUUGAACGCAGUAGGUCUGGUGAUGGUCUGGGCUCUCGGAUGGUGGUUGAAUGCAGUAGAUCUGGUAAUGGUCUGGGCUCUCGGAUGGUGGUUGAACGCAGGGGGUCUGGUGAUGGUCUGGGCUCUCGGAUGGUGGUUGAAUGCAGUAGAUCUGGUAAUGGUCUGGGCUCUCGGAUGGUGGUUGAACGCAGGGGGUCUGGUAAUGGUCUGGGCUCUCGGAUGGUGGUUGAACGCAGGGGGUCUGGUAAUGGUCUGGGCUCUCGGAUGGUGGUUGAACGCAGGGGGUCUGGUGAUGGUCUGGGCUCUACAACAUACUCAAAUAUGGCUCUACUUUGCAAAAUGA
RNAcentral lists this long non-coding RNA (555 nucleotides) under Oncorhynchus mykiss (rainbow trout). Its description in RNAcentral is "lncRNA (ENSOMYG00000066975.1)". Lineage: Eukaryota; Metazoa; Chordata; Actinopteri; Salmoniformes; Salmonidae. The record is from RNAcentral.